RNAcentral lists this ribosomal RNA (420 nucleotides) under uncultured bacterium. Its description in RNAcentral is "bacterial SSU rRNA". It matches the Rfam family "Bacterial small subunit ribosomal RNA", at positions 917 to 1338 of the family's 1533-position model. The record is from RNAcentral.
GGACCCGCACAAGCGGUGGAGCAUGUGGUUUAAUUCGAUGCAACGCGAAAAACCUUACCUACACUUGACAUACUUGGAAUCUUUUGUAAUGAAAGAGUGCCUUUUGGAGCCAAGAUACAGGUGCUGCAUGGCUGUCGUCAGCUCGUGUCGUGAGAUGUUGGGUUAAGUCCCAUAACGAGCGCAACCCUUACCCUUAUUUGCCAGCGAUUCGGUCGGGAACUAUAAGGGGACUGCCGGUGAUAAACCGGAGGAAGGUGAGGACGACGUCAAGUCAUCAUGGCCCUUACGUGUAGGGCUACACACGUGCUACAAUGGGGAGUACAGAUAGACGCUAAAGCGCGAGCUGGUGCUAAUCUCAUAAAACUCUUCGUAGUCCGGAUUGCAGUCUGCAACUCGACUGCAUGAAGUCGGAAUCGCUAG